CGGCGAGUGAGCGGCAAGAGCUCAAAUUUGAAAUCUGGCCCCUUCGGGGUCCGAGUUGUAAUUUGUAGAGGAUGCUUCGGGUGCGGCCCCCGUCUAAGUGCCCUGGAACGGGCCGUCGGAGAGGGUGAGAAUCCCGUCUGGGACGGGGUGUCCGUGCCCGUGUGAAGCUCCCUCGACGAGUCGAGUUGUUUGGGAAUGCAGCUCUAAGUGGGUGGUAAAUUUCAUCUAAAGCUAAAUACCGGCCGGAGACCGAUAGCGCACAAGUAGAGUGAUCGAAAGAUGAAAAGCACCUUGAAAAGGGAGUUAAACAGCACGUGAAAUUGUUGAAAGGGAAGCGCUGACGACCAGACUCGCCCGCGGGGUUCAGCCGGCAUUCGUGCCGGUGUACUUCCCCGCGGGCGGGCCAGCGUCGGUUUGGGCGGCCGGUCAAAGGCCCCCGGAAUGUAGCGCCCCUCGGGGCGCCUUAUAGCCGGGGGUGCAAUGCGGCCUGCCUAGACCGAGGAACGCGCUCGGCUCG
Molecule: ribosomal RNA, 517 nt
Filed under: Aspergillus salinarum
Lineage: Eukaryota; Fungi; Ascomycota; Eurotiomycetes; Eurotiales; Aspergillaceae
Also listed under: 1 other name
Description: LSU rRNA
Rfam family: Eukaryotic large subunit ribosomal RNA
Source: RNAcentral